GGAAGCGUCGCAUAGUGGCCAAUUGCAACAGGUUGCUAACCUGUACCGAUUUAUCGGUUCGUGGGUUCGAAUCCCACCGCUUCCG
RNAcentral lists this transfer RNA (85 nucleotides) under Patescibacteria group bacterium. Its description in RNAcentral is "tRNA-Ser". It matches the Rfam family "tRNA". Rfam says of the family: Transfer RNA (tRNA) molecules are approximately 80 nucleotides in length. Their secondary structure includes four short double-helical elements and three loops (D, anti-codon, and T loops). The record is from RNAcentral.